RNAcentral lists this unclassified non-coding RNA (143 nucleotides) under Lodderomyces orthopsilosis. RNAcentral's name for it is "Candida orthopsilosis internally transcribed spacer 1". Lineage: Eukaryota; Fungi; Ascomycota; Pichiomycetes; Serinales; Debaryomycetaceae. The record is from RNAcentral.
CAGAAUGAAAGUGCUUAACUGCAUUUUUUUUACACAUGUGUUUUUCUUUUUUUUUGAAAACUUUGCUUUGGUGGGCCCAUGGCCUGCCAGAGAUUAAACUCAACCAAAUUUUUAUUUAAGUCAACUGAUUAACUAAUAGUCAA